UGGGGCGUGGUGAAGCGGUAACACAGCGGACUUUGGAUCCGCCAUUCGGAGGUUCGAAUCCUCCCGCCCCAGCUA
RNAcentral lists this transfer RNA (75 nucleotides) under Candidatus Aerophobota bacterium. RNAcentral describes it as "Candidatus Aerophobetes bacterium tRNA-Gln". It matches the Rfam family "tRNA". Rfam says of the family: Transfer RNA (tRNA) molecules are approximately 80 nucleotides in length. The record is from RNAcentral. Lineage: Bacteria; Candidatus Aerophobota.